Molecule: ribosomal RNA, 253 nt
Filed under: Roseburia hominis A2-183
Lineage: Bacteria; Bacillati; Bacillota; Clostridia; Lachnospirales; Lachnospiraceae
Also listed under: 1 other name
Description: partial 16S ribosomal RNA
Rfam family: Bacterial small subunit ribosomal RNA
Source: RNAcentral
UACGUAUGGUGCAAGCGUUAUCCGGAUUUACUGGGUGUAAAGGGAGCGCAGGCGGUACGGCAAGUCUGAUGUGAAAUCCCGGGGCUCAACCCCGGUACUGCAUUGGAAACUGUCGGACUAGAGUGUCGGAGGGGUAAGUGGAAUUCCUAGUGUAGCGGUGAAAUGCGUAGAUAUUAGGAGGAACACCAGUGGCGAAGGCGGCUUACUGGACGAUUACUGACGCUGAGGCUCGAAAGCGUGGGGAGCAAACAGG